RNAcentral lists this ribosomal RNA (250 nucleotides) under uncultured bacterium. RNAcentral's name for it is "partial 16S ribosomal RNA". It matches the Rfam family "Bacterial small subunit ribosomal RNA", at positions 524 to 773 of the family's 1533-position model. The record is from RNAcentral.
UACAGAGGCCUCAAGCGUUGUUCGGAAUUACUGGGCGUAAAGCGGGUGUAGGUUGCGUAGUAAGUCAGAUGUGAAAGCCCUGGGCUCAACCCUGGAAGUGCGUCUGAUACUGCUACGCUGGAGUGCGAUAGAGGUAAGUGGAAUUCCUAGUGUAGGGGUGAAAUCCGUAGAUAUUAGGAGGAAUACCGAUGGCGAAGGCAACUUACUGGCUCGUAACUGACACUGAGACCCGAAAGCGUGGGUAGCAAAC